GCCAGACUCCUACGGGAGGCAGCAGUGGGGAAUAUUGGGCAAUGGGCGCAAGCCUGACCCAGCAACGCCGCGUGAAGGAAGAAGGCUUUCGGGUUGUAAACUUCUUUUGUCAGGGACGAAGCAAGUGACGGUACCUGACGAAUAAGCCACGGCUAACUACGUGCCAGCAGCCGCGGCAAUACGUAGGCGGCAAGCGUUAUCCGGAUUUACUGGGUGUAAAGGGCGUGUAGGCGGGACUGCAAGUCAGAUGUGAAAACCACGGGCUCAACCUGUGGCCUGCAUUUGAAACUGUAGUUCUUGAGUGCUGGAGAGGCAGACGGAAUUCCUAGUGUAGCGGUGAAAUGCGUAGAUAUUAGGAGGAGCACCAGUGGCGAAGGCGGUCUGCUGGACAGCAACUGACGCUGAGGCGCGAAAGCGUGGGGAGCAAACAGGAUUAGAUACCCCCGUAAC
Molecule: ribosomal RNA, 450 nt
Filed under: uncultured bacterium
Lineage: Bacteria
Description: bacterial SSU rRNA
Rfam family: Bacterial small subunit ribosomal RNA
Source: RNAcentral